AGGUAUCUGAGAACAAAAGGCGGUAACAAAAAGGAUGGAUUUGAUUUGGAUCUCACCUAUGUCACAGGCACUCUACAGAAAUCCCAUAAAAGAAGCUGCCAUAUUUCUGGACACAAAGCAUCCCGAUCAUUACAGAGUUUACAAUCUCUGCAGUCAAAAAGGCUACGAUCCACUGUUCUUCCAUUACAGAGUGCAACGAGUGAUGAUUGACGACCAUAACGUACCGUCAUUAGACCAACCCACUCGUUAGGACUCCCCCUAUCACUAGUAAUGCCCCAACACACCAGGAGGAUGAAGACUAGCGCACUCUUUCUCCGAUACAUGUGAAGUCAGCCACCGCUUUUUUUCGAGCUGCUGCUGAUGCAGCAUUGCCAAGCAGCCAGCACAUUUGGAGGAAAGCGCAGCGGCAGGUGAACCCGAGGAACCUGAGGAAAGUGGUGGGAAAUCUCGAGCCAGGUCAGACCUUGGGUUGGGUUUGGGCAGAGAACCUAAGCUCUUAUUCACAUAUUGAACUUUGUGUUAUUGUGUUCUCAGUGACAUGUUGAACUACACUGCCAGUUUGAGGGAAUAUCAUUGCCAUCCACUGCAAAGGAGGCAAAGGUGUGGGAAAGGGCAAUGGCAGUGAUCUGAAGGUGCGGAUCAUAGUGAAAAGAGAGCAGGUGUUCCAGUGUGUCUGUGCCACGCAGACGAACUGUAGGCUGUUCCCAGAUACUGAAAACAAUGCCGUGGUGAUCAGCUUUCAGGAAGGGCCAGUGGUUUGUGGUGAUGUUAAGGUCAUGUUUGAAUCCAGGGCUGUAAGUUCCCAAUCUAUUGUAACGUAAGAAUGAUUUUAUGGACAUCGUUUUUUUCCAGUUGUUUUCCAUACCUUUUAUGAUACACUCACAUUUCAGUGCUUGGUUUGACUCUGUUUUUUUUUUUUUUUUUCCUAAUGUUUUCUUAAGCCUUCACAUCAGUGUAUCAGCACUGGCAUUCAGAGCCCCUUAUUCACCAUCGUACUCCAUUGGACAUUUCAGGGACAACAGCCUUUUUUGCCCAAUUAUAAACACUCUUCUUGUAAAAGUUAUCCAGACAUAGGUAAAAAAAAAAAAAAAAAAAAAAAAAACCAACAGUUGAACUACAAAGUAUUGAAAGACUAGGAUACUAAAAGCCAGUAAUGUUAGCCCUGCUUUAUUUGUCUCACUAUCUUUAUAUAUCAGUUGCUUUAAACAUUAUAAUGUUAAGCAUAAUUUUAUUUAUAAAUUUAAAUAGAACAAAACAUAAAUGUUGUUUUAAUAAACGUUAGCAAUAAAUAAUCUCAAAAUAACACAUCUAAAAUACAGCAGACUAAUAGUUUAAACCAUUAAACCCAGCCUUUCAUUGAGCUGAGAGAAAAUUAAGUGUGCUGUUCAAUUUCCAACGUUAAGAAAUGGGUUAGACAAGCUAUACUAAUGUUCUCAUAUUUUACCAGCUGUUCCUAGAUACUGAAAACAAUGCCGUGGUGAUCAGCUUUCAGGAAGGGCCAGUGGUUUGUGGUGAUGUUAAGGUCAUGUUUGAAUCCAGGGCUGUAAGUUCCCAAUCUAUUGUAACGUAAGAAUGAUUUUAUGGACAUCGUUUUUUUCCAGUUGUUUGGCAAAAUGUUUUUUCUCUAUUGUUCUCUAUGCCCAGGGUCUUCCAAAGGGGUAUGAGGACUAUCCUUUCUAUUUCUGGUUCAACACUUCAUUUGUAGAGAACAACAGGUGAGGUUUUUGCUGUCCAUUGUCCUCAGAAGCAGACACUGGCUUUGUUUACCUACCAGACCACUCUGGUUUUAGAUUUUAUAUAUAAAAAUGCCAGGCCACUUAAUUCAUUAAUUAGAAUAUUUUGAUAUUUUGUCCCCUCUCAGUUUAGUAAACAUUACUGCUUUCAAUGUAAAAGGAUCUAUAAUGCUUUGGUCCCAAAACAGGCUCUAUCUGUCAAGGGAGGAACUGGACAACCCACGUAAGUCCAAAACCUGGGACAUCUACAAGGAGGACUUUGGUGUGACCGUGUCUUUCAGUGACCCUGCACUUAUGUAGCAGACGACACUUGCUUGUGUAUCUCAACUAAAACCCUUAAGCCCUGCACAAGGUCUAAAUCUUUGCUCUAAUGUAGGUUUUCACACACUUAUAAAAGGUGAGUGAUGUUUAGGGAUUGGAUUCGGGCAUAUAGUGCCCCUAAAGCUAUAGCUAUAGCUAUAUAACCUCAACUUUAUGUCCAUCCCCCAUCUUCACUGUAAGAGCUUUUUACUGAGCCGUGCAUACAUCACAAUAUUAUGCAUUUGUUUGUCAAAUGUUUUUUUGUCUUUAAAUGAAGACAAAUGUUUGUGUCAGUUUAGCAUAUUAUGCUUCCAAAAUGUAAAUCUUACUCUUUAAGCUUGAGUGUACAUCAAAUAAAGCAAUCGAGGCUGCCACUGUGAAAUGGUCAAUGGUUAUGUGUGCAGAAACAUUUUUUUGUAGUACACAUGUAUUGAAAUAAAUACUAAUGUCUCUGUAA
This is a long non-coding RNA of Astyanax mexicanus (Mexican tetra), 2490 nucleotides long. RefSeq lists it as uncharacterized. The transcript is spliced from 8 exons. NCBI's taxonomy places the organism in Eukaryota, Metazoa, Chordata, Actinopteri, Characiformes, Acestrorhamphidae. The record is from RefSeq and is a predicted model, not a curated record.